AAAAUUAUUUCUUGCCAGUAGUGAUAUGCUUGUCUCAAAGAUUAAGCCAUGCAAGUCUAAGUACGAGCUCUCGUACAGCGAAACUGCGAAUGGCUCAUUAAAUCAGUUAUGGUUCAUUUGAUCGUAUGGUUUACUUGGAUAACUGUGGUAAUUCUAGAGCUAAUACAUGCAAACAGCGCCGACUUCGCGGGAGGCGUGCUUUUAUCAGACCAAAAACCGACCGCGGCUCCGGCCGCGUUCGACUGGUGACUCUGGAUAACCUGGCGGAUCGCACGGUCUAGCACCGGCGACGGAUCAUUCAAGUGUCUGCCCUAUCAACUUUCGUCGGUACGGUAUUCGCCUACCGAGGUUCUUACGGGUAACGGGGAAUCAGGGUUCGAUUCCGGAGAGGGAGCCUGAGAAACGGCUACCACAUCCAAGGAAGGCAGCAGGCGCGCAAAUUACCCAUUCCCGACGCGGGGAGGUAGUGACGAAAAAUAACAAUGCAGGACUCAUUCGAGGCCCUGUAAUUGGAAUGAGUACACUUUAAAAGCUUUAACGAGUAUCCAUUGGAGGGCAAGUCUGGUGCCAGCAGCCGCGGUAAUUCCAGCUCCAAAAGUAUAUAUUUAAGUUGUUGCGGUUGAAAAGCUCGUAGUUGGAUUUUGGGCGCGGGCGGUCGGUCCGUCGCGAGGCGUGUACUGGUCGACCCGGCCUUACGUCCGGUUCUCCGGCGGUGCUCUUGACUGAGUGUCGGCGGCGGCCGGAAAGUUUACUUUGAAAAAAUUAGAGUGUUCAAAGCAGGCUCUCGAGCCUGAAUAAUGGUGCAUGGAAUAAUGGAAUAGGACCUCGGUUCUAUUUUGUUGGUUUUCGGAGCGCGAGGUAAUGAUUAAGAGGGACAGACGGGGGCAUUCGUACUGUGCCGUUAGAGGUGAAAUUCUUGGAUCGGCGCAAGACGAACGACUGCGAAAGCAUUUGCCAAGAAUGUUUUCUUUAAUCAAGAGCGAAAGUCAGAGGUUCGAAGACGAUCAGAUACCGUCCUAGUUCUGACUAUAAACGAUGCCAACUAGCGAUCGGGGAGCGUUAAUUUGACGACCUCCCCGGCAGCUUGCGGGAAACCAAAGUCUUUGGGUUCCGGGGGAAGGUGGCU
RNAcentral lists this ribosomal RNA (1126 nucleotides) under Ciona intestinalis (vase tunicate). RNAcentral describes it as "SSU rRNA". It matches the Rfam family "Eukaryotic small subunit ribosomal RNA", at positions 1 to 1130 of the family's 1831-position model. Lineage: Eukaryota; Metazoa; Chordata; Ascidiacea; Phlebobranchia; Cionidae. The record is from RNAcentral.